CUGGCGGCAUGCCUUACACAUGCAAGUCGAACGGCAGCACGGGAGCAAUCCUGGUGGCGAGUGGCGAACGGGUGAGUAAUAUAUCGGAACGUGCCCAGUCGUGGGGGAUAACGUAGCGAAAGCUACGCUAAUACCGCAUACGAUCUAUGGAUGAAAGCGGGGGAUCGCAAGACCUCGCGCUAUUGGAGCGGCCGAUAUCAGAUUAGCUAGUUGGUGGGGUAAAGGCCUACCAAGGCUACGAUCUGUAGUUGGUCUGAGAGGACGACCAGCCACACUGGGACUGAGACACGGCCCAGACUCCUACGGGAGGCAGCAGUGGGGAAUUUUGGACAAUGGGCGCAAGCCUGAUCCAGCAAUGCCGCGUGCAGGAAGAAGGCCUUCGGGUUGUAAACUGCUUUUGUCAGGGAAGAAAUCUUCUGGGCUAAUACCCCGGGAGGAUGACGGUACCUGAAGAAUAAGCACCGGCUAACUACGUG
This 476-nucleotide ribosomal RNA is filed under the name uncultured bacterium. RNAcentral describes it as "bacterial SSU rRNA". It matches the Rfam family "Bacterial small subunit ribosomal RNA", at positions 36 to 507 of the family's 1533-position model. The record is from RNAcentral.